GCCGGGGUAGCCCAAUCGGUAGAGGCACCAGGUCGAGAACCUGGAGGGUACGGGUUCGACUCCCGUCUCCGGCAC
RNAcentral lists this transfer RNA (75 nucleotides) under Comamonas sp. KCTC 72670. Its description in RNAcentral is "tRNA-Leu". It matches the Rfam family "tRNA". Rfam says of the family: Transfer RNA (tRNA) molecules are approximately 80 nucleotides in length. Their secondary structure includes four short double-helical elements and three loops (D, anti-codon, and T loops). Further hydrogen bonds mediate the characteristic L-shaped molecular structure. tRNAs have two regions of fundamental functional importance: the anti-codon, which is responsible for specific mRNA codon recognition, and the 3' end, to which the tRNAs corresponding amino acid is attached (by aminoacyl-tRNA synthetases). tRNAs cope with the degeneracy of the genetic code in two manners: having more than one tRNA (with a specific anti-codon) for a particular amino acid; and 'wobble' base-pairing, i.e. permitting non-standard base-pairing at the 3rd anti-codon position. Lineage: Bacteria; Pseudomonadati; Pseudomonadota; Betaproteobacteria; Burkholderiales; Comamonadaceae. The record is from RNAcentral.